This 497-nucleotide ribosomal RNA is filed under the name uncultured bacterium. Its description in RNAcentral is "partial 16S ribosomal RNA". It matches the Rfam family "Bacterial small subunit ribosomal RNA", at positions 28 to 507 of the family's 1533-position model. The record is from RNAcentral.
GAUGAACGCUGGCGGCGUGCCUAAUACAUGCAAGUCGAGCGAACAGACGAGGAGCUUGCUCCUCUGACGUUAGCGGCGGACGGGUGAGUAACACGUGGAUAACCUACCUAUAAGACUGGGAUAACUUCGGGAAACCGGAGCUAAUACCGGAUAAUAUAUUGAACCGCAUGGUUCAAUAGUGAAAGACGGUUUUGCUGUCCCUUAUAGAUGGAUCCGCGCCGCAUUAGCUAGUUGGUAAGGUAACGGCGUACCAAGGCAACGAUGCGUAGCCGACCUGAGAGGGUGAUCGGCCACACUGGAACUGAGACACGGUCCAGACUCCUACGGGAGGCAGCAGUAGGGAAUCUUCCGCAAUGGGCGAAAGCCUGACGGAGCAACGCCGCGUGAGUGAUGAAGGUCUUCGGAUCGUAAAACUCUGUUAUUAGGGAAGAACAAAUGUGUAAGUAACUAUGCACGUCUUGACGGUACCUAAUCAGAAAGCCACGGCUAACUACGUG